UUCACAAUGUAUGUCAUUCACUUUCUCUCCCAAUCGAUCAAUUUUUCUGUCUCUUGAUCAUUUUUUUUCCCAAAAGCUUUGAAUUCAUCAAUUUAUUUGAAGUUAGGGUUCAGUGAGAGCCAUGGAAAUGUAGACUACGAAGCCAAAUGCAUUCUCAAUCAAUUGAUCUCAAACCCUAAUUGAUCUCUACACACUCCUCUGUAUCGAACGAUUCGACCUCUGUGCAGUCUCCUCUCUGAUCGCGAACUUGAACCGGUUGAAGUAAUUCAUCGAUGAUUGCAAGUCCAAUCCCUCAAUCCUCUCCGAUCUUUCUCUCUUUUUCUUCCGAGAUUACCUUGAAAGAUAAGAGACUGUUCUAUCGAGGUCAUGGAAGAAAACCGUGAUGCUUCGAAGGAGGCUAAGGUGCAGGGGAAACUGGAGGAAGCAAUAGAACAGCUCACACAGGCUAUUUUGCUCAAUCCAACCUCAGCAAUUAUGUAUUCAGGUUCUUUCAUCGCGAUCGUUUCAGCCGAAGUCUUCUUCGAAGAAUGUUAUCACGGUACCUUCUCUCUCUCUAGCUCUUAUUUUUUGAUUCUUACUUGUUGAUUUUCGCUUGCAUUUCGAGAUUCCUAUGGUUUUUGGUGGUUUAGUGGAGUGAAUUGAUGUUGAAUUUGAUCUUCCUCACCGAGAUUCCUAUGAUUUUUCUAUUCAAUUUUUAAUUUGUUGUUAAAUUGUUUAAUUUGUUCCAGUGAGCCUUAUUGUGUUGAUGUGUACAUUCUUUAUCCUUUUUAGUUUUUUAAUUUUGUGUAUUUACACUUACUUUUCUACUGAUGCAGUGAUGCACGAGAAAGAGUAGCAUUACUUCUGAUAUCCAUUGUCAGUAUUAAGUGGAUGACCAUUAUUCUCUCUCACUCUCUGUUUUUCUUUGUUCUUCAAAAUGUGUAGGUAACAAUAGAUCAAAAUUCAAGUAGUUUAAAAAUUUAUCUUUCAAACGGAUCUUCUUUGGGAGGGUUUUUUUUCCCUUCCUGAUGUGCUAAUGGAGCUCUCCUUUCUGCUUUGUUCUCUGGCUGCUUGUGAGCUUUGUUGCCUUUGUUCCCAAAAAAGAUUAUCAUUGAAAUCAUGUUUCAUGAAAAAAUCCCGGUUUGAAAAAUAAGUUUAAAAAUUUGCUGGACUUUCGAAAUUUAUUUUAAAAUAACCUGUAUUUUAAAAUAACACCUUCCUUCCUUCCUUUCUUCCCAUUUGGAAGUUGAUUGAAUGAAUCUUAUUUUGACAUUGUUUCUUGUUGUUGCAUACCAUGGAUAAAUUCAAUCUUUGGCACUUGCAAAGUGUAUAAUUUCAUGUUCUUGUUGCACACUAUUGAUUCAUUGAGAAUUUUUCUGUUCUGGGUUUUUGGGUUUUGUUGAAAUUAAUCCACUUUCUUUGUGUUUUGAAUUGGACCAAUUUUUGGUUAAAUCGGUUGUCAUUUUUCCUUGUGUUGGCUUUGGUUAAUGCUACUAUUGAAUUUUCAUCAAUUGUAUUCAUUUCUGGCAUUGAGACAAGGAGACCAAUUCAACUAAUUAUAGUCCUCAUUUUUUUGUUAGAGAUGAUGUUUUAUUGCUUCACUGGGGAUAAGGAAUCAGAAUGUGAUGAAUUAUGUAUUAGUUGAAUCCCAUCUCUCCUUUCCAGUCCAUCGGGAAUCAUGGUUUCUGCUAAACCCUAAAUCCUCUUGAUGUUAAGCCUUUUGUCAUUUCCAUAUAUCUCUUCGACACUAACCCAAUCAUUUCUCUACCAGUUAUAGUUCCUUAAUUAUCGUCCUUGACUUUAAUGUGUCUACUUGAACACCAUUAUCUCCUCCCCUGUAACCUACUAAAAUGUUUAUUGUAUCUUAAGUUCGACUUGAUAAUGUGGAUUUUUUAUGUGUCUUAGAUAAUGCAAGUUUGAGGUGAACUUUGUUUUUGGUUGAUUGCAUUCUGCAGUAAGAAACUCAUGAAUUUUGAUUUAUUGCAUUGAAUUUCUGACCAAUUUCUUACUUUAUAUUUACUUGCUGGAAUUCAUGAAAUGAAGUUUGUUCUUGAAAAAUAAAAUUUAAUGCUAGUCUAUUUAAUGGAUUUCUAUUAGAGCAUGUUUAGUCCGUCUUUGUUGUUAGUAAUUAUGGCUGUGUUUAUCUUUGAAUUUUGAUAGACAAAUUACCUCUUUCUCGCAGCAUUGUCACAGUACUUAUUAUUUAUUUCUUUUGCAUCUUAGUUUAUAUUUCAUAUUGUAUAUCAUGUCCAUGAGUUAGGAGUUGGGGAUUUUUUAUUGGAAAUUAUGAGUAUGCAACAUUAUUUUGUUAGAGAUGUUAUGUAAUGCAUAUCAUGUGUGAAUAGUGAAUAUGAAUCUGCCUUCUACACAUGUUUAGUGCUUGUAAAACUCAAAUAAAGUGAAACCAUGAAGGGUAAUGGGUGAAAUUAGUUACAGUGAUUUGGUCUUUAAUUCAAAAUUUGAAAGAAAUGAUUUACUGAGUUGAAAUGUAUUGGUUAAUUUGGUGAAGGUUUGAUUCAUCAAGUUUUUAACUACUCAAGGGUCUAUUUGGGGUUGGGUGAAGAAGAUCAAGUGCCGAUGACACCAAAAUCGAUUGUGUUUUGUAGUGGAACUGGUUUUGGUUGAAGGUUCUAGAGGGGGUUUCUUGGUGGUUUUGUCCAUAACAACCAUAUGAAGUCUCUGCAUACAACAAUCCUCACCAUUUGUUAGUAAUAUAUUUGUUGGGUUUGGUGGUUUUGAGGAGUACAUUCAGAUUUAGAUGGAGUUUGUAGGGCAAAGUGAGGGUAUUAUGGUGUUUUUGGUUGGGAAGGAAGUGCAAGAAGCCUUUGAGACAUUUAGUGUUGAGCUAUUGUGGUAAUAGCUUUUGUGGUUACAAAUUUUAGGUGAUAUUAUCAUUUCAGAAAUGAGGUUCUCUUCUGCUGGUUUCACUCAGCAGUCUCCUGAAGGUAUAUUUCUCUGGGUUCUUUUUUUGUUGUUGUUGAAUUUCAGUCUUUUUCCCUGUUUUCCUGGUUUGGAGAUCUUUUAGUGUCUAGUUCAGCUGCAA
Camellia sinensis is the source of this 3022-nucleotide non-coding RNA. The record is from RefSeq and is a predicted model, not a curated record. NCBI's taxonomy places the organism in Eukaryota, Viridiplantae, Streptophyta, Magnoliopsida, Ericales, Theaceae.